This 93-nucleotide non-coding RNA is filed under the name Paenibacillus naphthalenovorans. Its description in RNAcentral is "c-di-GMP sequence". It matches the Rfam family "c-di-GMP-I riboswitch aptamer". Rfam says of the family: GEMM was predicted in a large-scale screen for bacterial structured RNA regulatory elements. The record is from Rfam by way of RNAcentral. Lineage: Bacteria; Bacillati; Bacillota; Bacilli; Caryophanales; Paenibacillaceae.
CGAGAUAAUUGGCAAAACCAUUGAAAAAUGGUGACGCAAAGCUAUAGGGGCUACCUUGAGCUAUUCGCUUCAACAUGCCAGCCAGUUGCCGAA